This 253-nucleotide ribosomal RNA is filed under the name uncultured bacterium. Its description in RNAcentral is "partial 16S ribosomal RNA". It matches the Rfam family "Bacterial small subunit ribosomal RNA", at positions 524 to 776 of the family's 1533-position model. The record is from RNAcentral.
UACGGGGGGGUAAGCGUUGUUCGGAAUUACUGGGCGUAAAGCGCACGUAGGCGGACUAUUAAGUCAGGGGUGAAAUCCCGGGGCUCAACCCCGGAACUGCCUUUGAUACUGGUAGUCUCGAGUCCGGAAGAGGUGAGUGGAAUUCCGAGUGUAGAGGUGAAAUUCGUAGAUAUUCGGAAGGAACACCAGUGGCGAAGGCGGCUCACUGGUCCGGUACUGACGCUGAGGUGCGAAAGCGUGGGGAGCAAACAGG